CCUACGGGGGGCAGCAGUGAGGAAUAUUGGUCAAUGGACGAGAGUCUGAACCAGCCAAGUAGCGUGAAGGAUGACUGCCCUAUGGGUUGUAAACUUCUUUUAUAUGGGAAUAAAACGUUCCACGUGUGGGAUUUUGUAUGUACCAUAUGAAUAAGGAUCGGCUAACUCCGUGCCAGCAGCCGCGGUAAUACGGAGGAUCCGAGCGUUAUCCGGAUUUAUUGGGUUUAAAGGGAGCGUAGGUGGAUUGUUAAGUCAGUUGUGAAAGUUUGCGGCUCAACCGUAAAAUUGCAGUUGGAACUGGCAGUCUUGAGUACAGUAGAGGUGGGCGGAAUUCGUGGUGUAGCGGUGAAAUGCUUAGAUAUCACGAAGAACUCCGAUUGCGAAGGCAGUUCACUGGACUGCAACUGACACUGAGGCUCGAAAGUGUGGGUAUCAAACAGGAUUAGAUACCCGAGUAGUC
RNAcentral lists this ribosomal RNA (460 nucleotides) under uncultured bacterium. RNAcentral's name for it is "partial 16S ribosomal RNA". It matches the Rfam family "Bacterial small subunit ribosomal RNA", at positions 338 to 795 of the family's 1533-position model. The record is from RNAcentral.